RNAcentral lists this ribosomal RNA (492 nucleotides) under uncultured bacterium. Its description in RNAcentral is "partial 16S ribosomal RNA". It matches the Rfam family "Bacterial small subunit ribosomal RNA", at positions 29 to 507 of the family's 1533-position model. The record is from RNAcentral.
AAUGAACGCUGGCGGCGUGCCUAAUACAUGCAAGUCGAACGACCAGAUAGUAAGAUUGCUCCUUUGACGUUAGCGGCUGACGGGUGAGUGACGCAUAGAUAAGCUUCUUCUUAGUCUGGGAUAACUUCGGGAAACAACUUAUGAUACCACAUCAUAUAAUGUACCGCAUGGAUCAAUAGUUCUUGACAGUUUUCCUGUCUCAUAUAGCUGAUGUCGCAUUGGCUAGUUGACUGGGUAAAGGCCCACCAAGGCGACGAACCGUAGCUGAUCUGAGAGGAUGAUCAGCCACACUGGAACUGAGACACGGUCCAGACUCCUACGGGAGGCAGCAGUAGGGAAUCUUCGACAAUGGGCGCAAGCCUGACGCAGCAAUGCCGCGUGGGUGAUGAAGGUCUUCGGGUUGUAAAGCUCUUUUGUUGGGAAAGAACAAAAGCAGAAUAAACUCUCGCUGUCUUGACGGUACCCAAACAAUAAGCCCCGGCUAACUUCGUG